This 205-nucleotide long non-coding RNA is filed under the name Solanum tuberosum (potato). RNAcentral describes it as "long non-coding RNA (STUB_LNC008146)". Lineage: Eukaryota; Viridiplantae; Streptophyta; Magnoliopsida; Solanales; Solanaceae. The record is from RNAcentral.
ACUUUUCCAAAGUUUGUGAAAAAGCCUAAUUUCUACUCAAACUCAUGGGUUCUUGCAUGAAACGAUUUCAAAUGAUAAGUUAUGAUAUUAUUGAUGUUUAUUUGAUGUUUUAAGAUGAAAAACUCCAUGAAUCCUUGUAUUCUACAAAACCCCAAAAUGUGUUUAUGAAGUGGGUCUAUUUCUAUAAAUUCAAAGUUGAUGGAAU